CAAUAGCGUAUAUUUAAGUUGUUGCAGUUAAAAAGCUCGUAGUUGGAUCUCGGUUAAGAGCGACCGGUCCGCCGUUUGGUGUGCACUGGUUGGUUUUAACUUCCUGUAGAGGACGUGCUCUGGGUUUAACGACCUGGACUCGGAGUCUACGUGGUUACUUUGAAAAAAUUAGAGUGUUCAAAGCGGGCUUACGCUUGAAUAUUUCAGCAUGGAAUAACACUAUAGGACUCCUGUCCUAUUUCGUUGGUCUCGGGACGGGAGUAAUGAUUAAGAGGAACAGUUGGGGGCAUUCGUAUUUCAUUGUCAGAGGUGAAAUUCUUGGAUUUAUGAAAGACGAACUUCUGCGAAAGCAUUUGCCAAGGAUGUUUUCAUUAA
RNAcentral lists this ribosomal RNA (375 nucleotides) under uncultured eukaryote. RNAcentral's name for it is "partial 18S ribosomal RNA". It matches the Rfam family "Eukaryotic small subunit ribosomal RNA", at positions 592 to 976 of the family's 1831-position model. The record is from RNAcentral.